AUGCAGUCCUCACGGCCUGGAGGUUUGAGGAAUGUGGCUGCUGGCGGCUCCGCCUCGCCGGAAUGCCCUCAAGGCCUUGCUGCAAGCAGGGGCGCCGGUGGCUAUGGGUUGCAACGAGGAAGAAGGGCUCGCACCUUUUUUUACGCACAUGCAAGUACCGGUGCUUCAACCGGCCAGAUUUUUGCCGGGACCGACAACGAUUUUUGCUGGAACCGGUGUCUGAAAUUGCUGGGGAACCCGUGCAGUGGUGAUUUUUGCUCCGACAUUCGUCGAACUUUGCUAGAACCAGUGUUUUGUUUUGUUGGAACUAUCUUUUUUGUUUGCUACAAUCGAACUAGUGGAGUCUCCUUGCUAAGUUUAUUUUGCUGGAACCAAUGUUUAUUUUCGCUGGAACUAGCAAUCUUUUUUGUUAUAAUUUUUUUCUUUUGCUACAAUCAAACCACUUGA
This 447-nucleotide ribosomal RNA is filed under the name Triticum aestivum (bread wheat). RNAcentral's name for it is "partial small subunit ribosomal RNA". Lineage: Eukaryota; Viridiplantae; Streptophyta; Magnoliopsida; Poales; Poaceae. The record is from RNAcentral.